Mus musculus (house mouse) is the source of this 4154-nucleotide long non-coding RNA. RefSeq annotates it as predicted gene, 38988. The record is from RefSeq and is a predicted model, not a curated record. NCBI's taxonomy places the organism in Eukaryota, Metazoa, Chordata, Mammalia, Rodentia, Muridae. The transcript is spliced from 4 exons.
GUCCUGAUACCCAGGACACUCAUGAGUGUUGCAGGUAGUAAGGACCUGAGAGGCUUGACUUUCUGAUUUGACUAGCGACUCCGUUGUCUUUGCAAUGCCAAGGUCGCCUGGGUUAGGGUCCAGCCAGAAGGAUUUCCCCUGAGGCUCUUUGUCAAGGGGCAGAGGGUGGCAUCAGAGUCACAGGCCAGAAGCCAGUAGUUUUUCAGAGAUGAGCCUCUCCGGGGACUUGGAAUGUGGAGUCUGUGUUUGAGAAGGGUUGAGUCUGUUAAGGGUUGAAGAUGGUGUUUGCAUGUCUCUCCUGGGAUAUAUAUAGCUCAGGGAUCAUUAGGAGGUAAAUGUGGGACCUUCUAAAAAGAUGGUAAUCCAUGACUUAAGCGAAGCAAGCCACAAAACUCUAAACAAGUUAGAAACACGGCUGCCUUCACGUGGAAAACAAACAAACAAACAAACAAACAACUCAGACCCCAAAUGAAUCCAAAAGCUGGACAGAGUGCUCGGGAAGUAAAAACCAAAACUCCACAACUGCCAUACUUAAACGGUGACAUAGUAAAUGUUUUCCCAUGGAGGCCUGAGUAAGAGGAGACAUUAGCACUCAUUGGUUGUAUACAAUAUGGUGCUAGUCAGUGUCACAAGGCAAGAAAACAAUGAAAAGCAGUUCGAAGUAGGCAGUGGGCAGGGAGGCAAAACCUGUCAUUUAGAUAUGAUAUGUUUGAGUAUACAGGAAGUAAAGUACAAAGAUACAUUGUAGGUUGAUAAGUUUGUUAGUCACUGGGUAUACGGUUAAUAUCCAGAAAUAAAUUAUAUUUCUGUAUGCCAGCAAGAAAUAGAAAAUAAGCUUUUAAUAACAUAAAAACAAUUACUCUGACUAGAGGGCUGGCUCGUAGGUUGAAUGCACUUGCUGAUCUGGCUGAAGACCCUGGUUCAGUUCCCAGCACACACAUAAAGGUCCACAACCAACUGUAUCUCCAGUUCCAGUGGAUCUAGCACCUUCUUCUGUCUACUACUGGUAUUGCACACAUAGUGCACAUAAACUCACACAGGCUCACACCAUACACAUAAAUGUUAAGAAAAAAAUUUUAAAAAACACUCAAGAUUAUACUUUGUUUGGCUAUGGAAUCUAAAAUAGGUUUUCCCCCAUUGAGAGUGGAAGUGCAUGCCUUUAAUCCCAGGAUUCAGGAGACAGGUGCCGGUAGAUCUCUGUGUGUUUGAGGCCAGCCUGGUCCACAUAGUAAGUUCCAGACCAGACCAAAGCUUACACAGUGAGAAUUUGUCAAAAAACAAAAUAACAACAAAAACAGAAACAAAAACAAAACAAAAAACCUUUUUUUUGCCAAGUUAACUAGAAUAAAUUGAUACUUGACACAUCUCAACUUGUAUUUGUUUUGUUUUGUUUUUUCUUGGAGAGUAGUAAGAGGAUGAAACUUGGUAAGGUGCUGUUGAUACACAGGUGAAGUAAAAUGACUUUGGAAGACCUGUAUCCUAGUGUGGAGGAUACAAGGUAUCAAAGCAAAGCUAAAGUAAUUCAUCAGUGAAACAAACUGAAUCAUAGAGAUAUACUCUUUCUGGUUUAUCACCACCAAGGGACACUGCAGAGUAGUGGAGGAAAGACAGUCAUUUCCAAGAGCUCUGAUGGGUCAGCUCUCAAAAUUCUCUUGGCUUGACUUUACAAUGUACCCUACAAUCUAUCUGCAUUAGCUUCUCAUACUGCAACACCCGAGAACCAACUUAUAAAGUAUUUGUUUAUUUUACAAAUGUUUUGAUUAGCAUACAAAACAAUAGGUGAAGUGAGAAUUUCUAGUUUUGUUGGAGACUAAAUUGUGUCAUGUGAUGUUUCCUGGAAAGUGAUGUUUCCCUGGAAACUAGAGGAUGUUUUGCUGAGAACUGACACGUGGUGUUCUUCUGGAAGUUGCCUCGUGAAAGGACAUGAGAUGCUUUGCUAGAGUGGAUGCUUCAGAGGUCCAUGAUGUUUGGAAAGAGUGUAAGUAUAACUCAACAGACAGUGGGCGACACUCUGCCAUUUGUUCACCUUGCCACUCUUUGGUGGCCAUUGUUGGGCUUCGCUGAUGACAAUGUGGCAUUGGUUCGCCUUGCUUUCUUCAUCGAUCUUUGCUUGUAGUUACUUCACUGAGAGAAAAACACCGAAGAACUUCUGGUGGUGCUCUGGCUGGGCUUCCGCAGACUCGUGCUGAUCAGUGGUUUCUUUUGGAUCAAACCACUGCUACUGAUUUGUGUUUGAUGUUUGCCAAGUGGACUGGACUGCUCACAACAAAGAUUUGAAUCUCUCCAAAACAAACAAACAAACAAACAAACAAACAAACACUAUUUCUAAACAGGUCCACGACCCCCAUUCCCUAUUAACCUUUGUUUUUCACUACCCCUGGUGGAUGUUAGGAUAGAAAGGAGGUUAAAAACAAACCCAUAAAGUUUUGAAAAAUCUAAGCUUACAAAUGGGUCUCAUGAUAAUUUUUAUAUGCAUUAUCUAUUAUUGUAUCUUGUAUAUAUUCAGACUUUAACUACCCUUUCUCAUCCCUCCUACACACCUCUCUCUGGUCCCUGUUCUUUCCUCAAGUAGAUCUCUCUCUAUUUUAUGUUAGAAAUACAUACAUACAUACAUACAUACAUAAAUACAUACAUACAUUGUCAUAGGUAGAUACAUAUAUGUAGAUACAGAUUCUCCAUAUAAAAGAAAAGGUGAUAUUUGUUCUUCUGAAUCUGGCUUAUUUCCUUUAAUAUAAUAAUCUCCAUUUCCAUCCAUUUUCUUGCAAGUGACAUAAUUUUAUUCUUUUUAACAACUGAAUUAAAUUCCACUUUAGACCACACAUCCUUCAUCUAUUCAUUGCAAAUUGGCGUCUGGGCAGCUUUUAUAUUUUGGUUUAUAAUAGAACAGCAAUAAACAUGGAUGUGCCCGUACUUCUGUGGCGUGUUGACAGAGUCCUUUGGUGUCCAGCAUUGAGAUACCUGGAUCAUAGAGUAGUUCUAUUUUUGGCUCUCAGAGGAAUCUGUAGAGAUCUCCACAGUGUCUUCAUCUGUUCACAGUCACAUCAGCAGUGAGCAGCAUCUCUUGCUCUGCCUUGCAUCUUUUGUCAGCCAUUGUCUUGGUGAUGGCCACCCUGACCGGGGUGAGAUGGGAUCUCGAGGCAGCUUUAAUUUACGUUUUCCUGGUGGCUGUGGAUGUUUAACAUUUUUCCCUUUCAAAAUUUACGACCAUUUGUAUUUACUCUCCUGAGAAGCAUUUGCUCAACCCAUUGGCUCAUCUGUCAGUGAGAUUGUUUGGGGUUUUCGUGUUUGAUUUUUGUCUCAUUCUUUGUCUGAUAUAGAGUUAGCAAAGAUUUUUUUCUCCCAUUCUAUAGGUUGACUAUUAUAUCCUUUUCUGUGCAGAAACUUUUUAAAGCCCAUGCAACCCCACUGGCCAACUCUCGGCAUCACUUUCUGGGCAAUCGGGGUUCUGGGUGAAAAAUGCAUGUUUUUAUUCUUCUAUUAUGGGUGCAUUACUUUUCUGGUGCUGUGAUUUCAACAACAACAACAACAACAACAACAACAAACUCCACCGAAAGCAACUUAAGGAAGAGAGAAUUUAUUUUGACCUAUGUGUCAGAGGGAUAAGAGUCAGUCAUGGCAGAGAAGCCUGGCAGCAAGCAGAGGGCAUGGAUGCCAAACAGGAAUCUGAGCUCAUAGCUCAACCACAAGCACAGAGCACAGAGCAAACUGGAAGCAGCUUGAGGAUUCAAUCUCAAAGUCCACCCCAGUGGUGUACUUGCCCCAGCAAGGCCACAAUGCUUAACCCUGAGCCCACAGCAUCAUCGACCAGGUGAAUCACUGAAGUAUUGAACUGGAGACCUACAUCCGUGCUAGGCAAGUGCUCUACCACCAGGCUACAUUGUACCAGGCUACAUUACAGCUCUUUGCUAUUGGAUCCUGAGAAAGCACUCUACCGGGACUUUCUGGGUUCCCAGUCCAUUCAGGAAAAGCUGACAUCUGGAACCUUUGAGGACUUCUAUAUACUGACAACCUCUGAAUGUACCUUCUGCUGGAUCCCAACCCAGCAGGACAUCUUCCCUCUGUCCCAUAUCAAGACCUUCACAGAGCCAGGUGCUAGCUCUUUUUCCCCUCCAUACAGCAGGCUUUGAGCCUGGGUCCUGUGGAUGCCCUGGGGU